GCGGUGAUGGGGUGGCCAUAAGAAGGA
RNAcentral lists this non-coding RNA (27 nucleotides) under Homo sapiens (human). Lineage: Eukaryota; Metazoa; Chordata; Mammalia; Primates; Hominidae. The record is from RNAcentral.